ACGGAGGGUGCAAGCGUUGUUCGGAAUUACUGGGCGUAAAGAGCGUGUAGGCGGUUUGGCAAGUCAGAUGUGAAAGCCCUGGGCUCAACCCAGGAAGUGCAUUUGAAACUGCCAUCCUUGAGUAUGGGAGAGGAGAGUGGAAUUCCCAAUGUAGAGGUGAAAUUCGUAGAUAUUGGGAGGAACACCCGUGGCGAAGGCGACUCUCUGGACCAAUACUGACGCUGAGACGCGAAAGCGUGGGGAGCAAACAGG
This 252-nucleotide ribosomal RNA is filed under the name uncultured bacterium. RNAcentral describes it as "partial 16S ribosomal RNA". It matches the Rfam family "Bacterial small subunit ribosomal RNA", at positions 525 to 776 of the family's 1533-position model. The record is from RNAcentral.